Molecule: ribosomal RNA, 253 nt
Filed under: uncultured bacterium
Lineage: Bacteria
Description: partial 16S ribosomal RNA
Rfam family: Bacterial small subunit ribosomal RNA
Source: RNAcentral
UACGUAGGGUGCGAGCGUUGUCCGGAAUUAUUGGGCGUAAAGAGCUUGUAGGCGGUUUGUCGCGUCUGCUGUGAAAGCCCGGGGCUUAACUCCGGGUCUGCAGUGGGUACGGGCAGACUAGAGUAUGGUAGGGGAGACUGGAAUUCCUGGUGUAGCGGUGGAAUGCGCAGAUAUCAGGAGGAACACCGAUGGCGAAGGCAGGUCUCUGGGCCAUAACUGACGCUGAGAAGCGAAAGCAUGGGUAGCGAACAGG